RNAcentral lists this ribosomal RNA (431 nucleotides) under uncultured bacterium. RNAcentral describes it as "bacterial SSU rRNA". It matches the Rfam family "Bacterial small subunit ribosomal RNA", at positions 29 to 507 of the family's 1533-position model. The record is from RNAcentral.
AGCGAACGCUGGCGGCAGGCCUAAUACAUGCAAGUCGAACGGUCUCUUCGGAGGCAGUGGCGGACGGGUGAGUAACGCGUGGGAAUAUGCCCUUUGGUACGGAACAACUGAGGGAAACUUCAGCUAAUACCGUAUGUGCCCUUCGGGGAAAGAUUUAUCGCCAUUGGAGUAGCCCGCGUUGGAUUAGGUAGUUGGUGGGGUAAAGGCCUACCAAGCCUACGAUCCAUAGCUGGUCUGAGAGGAUGAUCAGCCACACUGGGACUGAGACACGGCCCAGACUCCUACGGGAGGCAGCAGUAGGGAAUCUUGCGCAAUGGGCGAAAGCCUGACGCAGCCAUGCCGCGUGAAUGAUGAAGGUCUUAGGAUUGUAAAAUUCUUUCACCGGGAAGAUAAUGACGGUACCCGGAGAAGAAGCCCCGGCUAACUUCGUG